UACGUAGGGUGCGAGCGUUAAUCGGAAUUACUGGGCGUAAAGCGUGCGCAGGCGGCGCGUUAAGACAGGUGUGAAAGCCCCGAGCUUAACUUGGGAAUUGCGCUUGUGACUGGCGUGCUGGAAUGUGGCAGAGGGAGGUGGAAUUCCACGUGUAGCAGUGAAAUGCGUAGAGAUGUGGAGGAACACCGAUGGCGAAGGCAGCCUCCUGGGCCAGCACUGACGCUCAUGCACGAAAGCGUGGGGAGCAAACAGG
RNAcentral lists this ribosomal RNA (253 nucleotides) under uncultured bacterium. Its description in RNAcentral is "partial 16S ribosomal RNA". It matches the Rfam family "Bacterial small subunit ribosomal RNA", at positions 524 to 776 of the family's 1533-position model. The record is from RNAcentral.